Molecule: ribosomal RNA, 236 nt
Filed under: uncultured bacterium
Lineage: Bacteria
Description: partial 16S ribosomal RNA
Rfam family: Bacterial small subunit ribosomal RNA
Source: RNAcentral
CGGGACGGGUGAGUAACGCGUGGGUAACCUGCCUCACACUGGGGGACAACAGUUAGAAAUGACUGCUAAUGCCGCAUAAGCGCACAGGACCGCAUGGUCUAGUGUGAAAAACUCCGGUGGUGUGAGAUGGACCCGCGUUUGAUUAGCUAGUUGGUGGGGUAACGGCCUACCAAGGCGACGAUCAAUAGCCGACCUGAGAGGGUGACCGGCCACAUUGGGACUGAGACACGGCCCAA